Xenia sp. Carnegie-2017 is the source of this 438-nucleotide long non-coding RNA. RefSeq lists it as uncharacterized. The record is from RefSeq and is a predicted model, not a curated record. The transcript has 3 exons. NCBI's taxonomy places the organism in Eukaryota, Metazoa, Cnidaria, Anthozoa, Malacalcyonacea, Xeniidae.
GACACAUGGUGUUGAAUGCUGCGUUUAAACAAAAAGAAAAUGUCGAUGUGCAGAGAAAGCUAAUCAAAACCAAUUUACAUAUUUUGCCAUUCAGCACAAUGGAGAUUGUAUGAGUGGAGAUCAAACAUCGCUGAACAAUUAUAAAAGUGUAGAAAAGUCGAAAGCAUGCAUUUCUCAUGAUCUAUCACCUUGUGAAGAUAUUAGUUGGAGAAGUAUGUGUGGGAAAAAAUGGUUCUAACUUUGUGUACGAGAUAACUGGAGGUCCUGGCCCUGAGAAAAAGAGUUUUAUUGCCUUCAAAGAAACUGUAAAAGAACGUUGAGAAAAAUAUGAAACACGUGUUUAGAAAUCGCAUUUGAAUUAAUAACGUAAAUUGUAUGGUUGUUUGAUUCUCUAAGUUACCUUUCAUUUACAAUGACCUCAAAUUUCAUCUCAUAAAA